UUACUCGGAAUCACUGGGCGUAAAGGGCGCGUAGGCGGAUUAUCAAGUCUCUUGUGAAAUCUAAUGGCUUAACCAUUAAACUGCUUGGGAAACUGAUAGUCUAGAGUGAGGGAGAGGCAGAUGGAAUUGGUGGUGUAGGGGUAAAAUCCGUAGAUAUCACCAAGAAUACCCAUUGCGAAGGCGAUCUGCUGGAACUCAACUGACGCUAAGGCGCGAAAGCGUGGGGAGCAAACAGGAUUAGAUACCCUGGUAGUCCACGCCCUAAACGAUGUACACUAGUUGUUGGGAUGCUAGUCAUCUCAGUAAUGCAGCUAACGCAUUAAGUGUACCGCCUGGGGAGUACGGUCGCAAGAUUAAAACUCAAAGGAAUAGACGGGGACCCGCACAAGCGGUGGAGCAUGUGGUUUAAUUCGAAGAUACGCGAAGAACCUUACCUGGGCUUGAUAUCCUAAGAACCUUAUAGAGAUAUGAGGGUGCUAGCUUGCUAGAACUUAGAGACAGGUGCUGCACGGCUGUCGUCAGCUCGUGUCGUGAGAUGUUGGGUUAAGUCCCGCAACGAGCGCAACCCACGUAUUUAGUUGCUAACGGUUCGGCCGAGCACUCUAAAUAGACUGCCUUCGUAAGGAGGAGGAAGGUGUGGACGACGUCAAGUCAUCAUGGCCCUUAUGCCCAGGGCGACACACGUGCUACAAUGGCAUAUACAAUGAGACGCAAUACCGCGAGGUGGAGCAAAUCUAUAAAAUAUGUCCCAGUUCGGAUUGUUCUCUGCAACUCGAGAGCAUGAAGCCGGAAUCGCUAGUAAUCGUAGAUCAGCCAUGCUACGGUGAAUACGUUCCCGGGUCUUGUACUCACCGCCCGUCACACCAUGGGAGUUGAUUUCACUCGAAGCCGGAAUACUAA
RNAcentral lists this ribosomal RNA (900 nucleotides) under Campylobacter jejuni. Its description in RNAcentral is "bacterial SSU rRNA". It matches the Rfam family "Bacterial small subunit ribosomal RNA", at positions 541 to 1438 of the family's 1533-position model. The record is from RNAcentral. Lineage: Bacteria; Pseudomonadati; Campylobacterota; Epsilonproteobacteria; Campylobacterales; Campylobacteraceae.